Ictidomys tridecemlineatus (thirteen-lined ground squirrel) is the source of this 69-nucleotide non-coding RNA. The record is from Rfam. NCBI's taxonomy places the organism in Eukaryota, Metazoa, Chordata, Mammalia, Rodentia, Sciuridae.
GGGGUUGUGGCUCAGUGGUAGAGUGCUUGCCUAGCAUGCAUGAGGCACUGGGUUCAAUUCUCAGCACCA